UGAGGAAUAUUGCGCAAUGGGCGAAAGCCUGACGCAGCGACGCCGCGUGGAGGAUGAAGGUCUUCGGAUUGUAAACUUCUGUUAAGUGGGAAGAAAGAGCCGUUUUUAAUAGAGACGGUAAAUGACGGUACCAUUAAAGAAAGCACCGGCUAAACUCGUGCCAGCAGCCGCGGUAAUACGAGUGGUGCAAGCGUUAUUCGGAAUAAUUGGGCGUACAGGGUGUGUAGGCGGCAUGUUAAGUCUGUUGUUAAAUUCUCCAGCCUAACUGGAGACAGGCAGCGGAAACUGGCGUGCUAGAGGGUGGAAGAGAGAAGUGGAAUUCUCGGUGUAGCGGUAAAAUGCGUAGAUAUCGAGAGGAGCACCGAUGGCGAAGGCAGCUUCUUGGUCCAUUCCUGACGCUGAAACACGAAAGCGUGGGGAGCAAACA
Molecule: ribosomal RNA, 427 nt
Filed under: uncultured prokaryote
Description: bacterial SSU rRNA
Rfam family: Bacterial small subunit ribosomal RNA
Source: RNAcentral